Heligmosomoides polygyrus is the source of this 75-nucleotide non-coding RNA. Lineage: Eukaryota; Metazoa; Nematoda; Chromadorea; Rhabditida; Heligmosomidae. The record is from Rfam.
GCACCGGUGGUGUAAUGGCGUAGAGCAUUCCCGCCCGGUCAGAGGGAGGUGCGGGUUCGAGUCCCGCCUGGCGCU